This is a non-coding RNA of Arachis ipaensis, 615 nucleotides long. NCBI's taxonomy places the organism in Eukaryota, Viridiplantae, Streptophyta, Magnoliopsida, Fabales, Fabaceae. The record is from RefSeq and is a predicted model, not a curated record.
CCUAAAUAGAAACUCCUCAAGUUUUUCCUACUGUCACUGACCACCGCCGCAGACCUUACCAUCGUCGACGACUGUCCAUCAUCCUUUACUCAUUCACACUCAUUCAAAUUGAUCGCUCUUCAUGUUUCCAUCCCCCGCCUCAGAUCCUCAUCGCUAUUCUUGUUUGUUCGUGUCUCAGAUCUCCAUUGCUAGGUUCGGUUCCUAUCUUAAAAGCAUCGUUAAUUGUGGCAGGAAAGUCCAACGCGGAGGUUGAGGAGGUUUUUGAUCAGAUGCUCACUCGUUUGGCUCUCUACGAUGAUUUCAAGCUUGAGCCCUUACUCUCCAAUCUUCUCCCUCUCUGCAUAUCUUCACUCUCCUUAAACUCCGCCACUGUGUGCAACAAGGUGCUUCUGGUGGUCACUUAGAUUCCAUUCUGUUAGCAAGAUUGAAGGUUCAAAAUCUUAUUGAAUGAUGCUUACAACUAUAUAUGAGCCAGAAAGAAGUAGUGGACACACUACUAAAGCAAGCCAAAAUAGAGCCUGGUUUCACAGAAUUGGGUAAGGAAAGCUUUGUUCUAUGCUAUUAUUUUUGUUUUGCUUGUAUCAUACUCCACGUAACUCUGCAGCAUACUUUCUU